GCAGUGGUGGUUCAGGACUAGAAUUCUCACCUUUAAUGAGAGAGACCAGGGUUCGAUUCCUGGACAAUGCA
This 71-nucleotide transfer RNA is filed under the name Loxodonta africana (African savanna elephant). It matches the Rfam family "tRNA". Rfam says of the family: Transfer RNA (tRNA) molecules are approximately 80 nucleotides in length. The record is from Rfam by way of RNAcentral. Lineage: Eukaryota; Metazoa; Chordata; Mammalia; Proboscidea; Elephantidae.